This 906-nucleotide long non-coding RNA is filed under the name Daucus carota (carrot). RNAcentral's name for it is "long non-coding RNA (DCAR_LNC001332)". The record is from RNAcentral. Lineage: Eukaryota; Viridiplantae; Streptophyta; Magnoliopsida; Apiales; Apiaceae.
UUUGAAAUUCAGACUUGUCACAUUUAAAGUUACAAUAAGUACGAGUCAAUGUCUAGCAUGUAACUUGUGGAUUAGAGUACAUAGAGCAGAAAAUUAAAUUGGGAAACAGCUAUAGUCUUUGUCAAUCAAAAAAGUAUUUUGAUAUGAUAUUGCAGUGUAAGAAUAAUAAAGCUAGAAUCAAUGUUGUUCAAGCAAAAAUCCCGGAGCAUGUUGCGGCAAUCACUGCUACAGUUUCAUAACAGAAAUCGUUCAUAAUCUAAACUAAACAUCUUCAAAUGACAAUUCCCUGAAAGUAUAAAAGUUAAAAACCAACAUAAGCAACUAUCUGAUGAUAACAACUCAAAGAAAUUUAAGAAAACAGAACACUAUCCAAGUCCUUUGAGAUUCAAACCUUCAUCUCCAGUUCAAUAUAUAUGUACAGAGUAUUGUUGUUCCAAGCACAUACACAAAAAAGAAAAAAAAAUCUAAGCAAAUUAAAACCUAAUAAUCUAUCAGCAAUCAGAACAAACAGGAUCAACUAUGACUAUAAACUCUCAAAAUUAUAUUUAGAUGAAUGAUCAAGCAGAACACAAUCCGAGAUUUGCAACUUCAUCCCAAUUUCAAAUAACGAAGUAUACAUAAUAUGUUGAUCCGAGCAAAUCAAGCAAAAAUAUUAGCCAAAACUAAUCAAAAGCAUAUCAAAUCAUCCGGAAUCUAAGCUCCACAUCGGGCUGGCAAAAAACAUUAUUGCAUAUCAUUAUCGGAGUAUCCGACCAAAACACUGGACAUGUGAAUAUGCGCAAACAUGUGCCAUGUUUAGUUUAAAAUUUUAAGGUUACACCAUGCAGUUAAUUGAAUUGUAUAUAUAAAAAUAGUUCCACUAUAAAUAAGAUCAUGCGGCUCAACCAAAUCAACAUACCAAAGAGG